This 240-nucleotide unclassified non-coding RNA is filed under the name soil metagenome. RNAcentral describes it as "partial contains 5.8S ribosomal RNA, internal transcribed spacer 2, and large subunit ribosomal RNA". The record is from RNAcentral.
AAGACUAUAGACCUGCGGAGUACCUGCGGAAGGAUCAUUACCGAGUUAGGGUUUCCUCCAAGGAGCCCGACCUCCCAACCCUUUGCUUAACCUUACCUUGUGUUGCUUCGGCGGGCCCGUCUCUACGACCGCCGGGGGACCGUUAAACGUCCUCUGGCCCGUUGCCCGCCGGUGGCCAAUACCUAUAAACUCUGAACUAAGCGUGUCUUUGUCUGAGUAACAUGACCUAAAAUCAUAAAC